GACGAACGCUGGCGGCGUGCUUAACACAUGCAAGUCGAACGGAAAGGCCCUGCUUUUGUGGGGUGCUCGAGUGGCGAACGGGUGAGUAACACGUGAGUAACCUGCCCUUGACUUUGGGAUAACUUCAGGAAACUGGGGCUAAUACCGGAUAGGAGCUCCUGCUGCAUUGUGGGGGUUGGAAAGUUUCGGCGGUUGGGGAUGGACUCGCGGCUUUUCAGCUUGUUGGUGGGGUAGUGGCUUACCAAGGCUUUGACGGGUAGCCGGCCUGAGAGGGUGACCGGCCACAUUGGGACUGAGAUACGGCCCAGACUCCUACGGGAGGCAGCAGUGGGGAAUAUUGCACAAUGGGCGGAAGCCUGAUGCAGCAACGCCGCGUGCGGGAUGACGGCCUUCGGGUUGUAAACCGCUUUCGCCUGUGACGAAGCGUGAGUGACGGUAAUGGGUAAAGAAGCACCGGCUAACUACGUG
Molecule: ribosomal RNA, 468 nt
Filed under: uncultured bacterium
Lineage: Bacteria
Description: partial 16S ribosomal RNA
Rfam family: Bacterial small subunit ribosomal RNA
Source: RNAcentral